Molecule: ribosomal RNA, 403 nt
Filed under: Fusobacteriota bacterium
Lineage: Bacteria; Fusobacteriati; Fusobacteriota
Description: Fusobacteria bacterium partial 16S ribosomal RNA
Rfam family: Bacterial small subunit ribosomal RNA
Source: RNAcentral
UGGGGAAUUUUGCACAAUGGAGGAAACUCUGAUGCAGCGACGCCGCGUGAGUGAUGAAGAUCUUCGGAUUGUAAAACUCUGUCCUUAGUGAAGAUAAUGACAGUAACUGAGAAGCAAGCCCUGGCUAAAUACGUGCCAGCAGCCGCGGUAAUACGUAUGGGGCAAGCGUUGUCCGGAAUUAUUGGGCGUAAAGGGUACGUAGGCGGUUUAAUAAGUCCUAAUUAAAAGGCUAUGGCUCAACCAUAGUAUGGUUAGGAAACUGUUGAACUUGAGUAGAUGAGGGGAAAGUGGAAUUCCAUGUGUAGCGGUGAAAUGCGUAGAUAUAUGGAGGAACACCAAUGGCGAAGGCAACUUUCUGGAAUCAAACUGACGCUGAGGUACGAAGGCGUGGGGAGCAAACAGG